CUCCUACAUAAUAGUCAGCUAACGGGAGUAAGUACAUUGUUCGACUUACAUGGGUAUGGAUUUCUUGGCAAAAGUUCAAAUUUGUAGCCUGUCACACAAUAAGUUUAAUUUGGUGGAUUUCUUUAUAUUUGAAUCCAAAUUUGUCGGAUCUAUUUUAAGUUUCACAGGUGAGACGUGGGAGGUGAUGAUGGUGGUGGUGGGAUUAUUUAAGAUUUUAUCUCUAUUUCUUGCAACUUAAAUUCUUGGUCGAAUCUUGCAAAUAUGAACGAUGAAGAUGGCGAAUCCUACACAUGAACAACUGAAUUGUUAUUUUGAUUUUUAUUUGAUUUUUUUUCUUACAAGUUGCUAGUAUUCUUCAGCUUAUGUGUAUGUUAUAGUGCUAGAGCUAUUUUUUCAUUAACAAGCUGCUUGGAUUGUUGACAUUUGAUCUUUUUUGGUUGAGUCCCAGUUGACAAUGGCAAGAAAAUACCUAAGAGUCUAUCAUAGUUGUAGAGAGGAGGGCCAUUUUUUUUGGAGAAUGUCCGAGGAAACGCCCUUGGCCAUGGUGUAAGCAUGCCUUCGUAAAGUGUUUUGAAUUGGAGAAUGAGAGUGACAACAAAGGCAUUCUAUUCAAUUCUUGUAGUGCAACAUGUGAAUAUUGAGAGUGGGUUCAAGCUAUUGAAAUGAGUGGUGAAUCUAGUUCAGCUAAAGAUUUCUCUAGCAUGUUGAAACUCUAUGUCGGUUAACUGAUGAACAAGAAGUGGAGAUUUCUGUGAAAGUGACAAUAUGUAAAGGAAGAGAAAGUUCGAAAGGGGACAAGAAAGGAAAGGGACAUGCUUGAGUUGUAGCUGUUAGUGUACUAAUGUUACUUCAUUUAUGUUGUUUAUGACUUGGUAGUGUGAUUAGGAUGUAAUGGACAAUGAUGUUGCUAUUGUAGUUAUAUUAUCGAU
Molecule: long non-coding RNA, 929 nt
Filed under: Olea europaea subsp. europaea
Lineage: Eukaryota; Viridiplantae; Streptophyta; Magnoliopsida; Lamiales; Oleaceae
Source: RNAcentral